AUUAUUUUUUACAUUUAGUUUGUGUAUAAAAGAUAUUAAAUUUUUAUGUGUAGAAACUAAGAACAGACUAUUAAUAAUUUAUAGUACAGUAAUGGAAGAUUAUAAUAAGAUUAAAGUAAAAUUUU
Molecule: ribosomal RNA, 125 nt
Filed under: Myxobdella sinanensis
Lineage: Eukaryota; Metazoa; Annelida; Clitellata; Hirudinida; Hirudinidae
Description: partial 16S ribosomal RNA
Source: RNAcentral